GAUGAACGCUGGCGGCGUGCCUAAUACAUGCAGGUCGAGCGAACAGACGAGGAGCUUGCUCCUCUGACGUUAGCGGCGGACGGGUGAGUAACACGUGGAUAACCUACCUAUAAGACUGGGAUAACUUCGGGAAACCGGAGCUAAUACCGGAUAAUAUAUUGAACCGCAUGGUUCAAUAGUGAAAGACGGUUUUGCUGUCACUUAUAGAUGGAUCCGCGCCGCAUUAGCUAGUUGGUAAGGUAACGGCUUACCAAGGCAACGAUGCGUAGCCGACCUGAGAGGGUGAUCGGCCACACUGGAACUGAGACACGGUCCAGACUCCUACGGGAGGCAGCAGUAGGGAAUCUUCCGCAAUGGGCGAAAGCCUGACGGGGCAACGCCGCGUGAGUGAUGAAGGUCUUCGGAUCGUAAAACUCUGUUAUUAGGGAAGAACAAAUGUGUAAGUAACUAUGCACGUCUUGACGGUACCUAAUCAGAAAGCCACGGCUAACUACGUG
This 497-nucleotide ribosomal RNA is filed under the name uncultured bacterium. RNAcentral's name for it is "partial 16S ribosomal RNA". It matches the Rfam family "Bacterial small subunit ribosomal RNA", at positions 28 to 507 of the family's 1533-position model. The record is from RNAcentral.